Molecule: ribosomal RNA, 465 nt
Filed under: uncultured bacterium
Lineage: Bacteria
Description: partial 16S ribosomal RNA
Rfam family: Bacterial small subunit ribosomal RNA
Source: RNAcentral
GACGAACGCUGGCGGCGUGCUUAACACAUGCAAGUCGAACGGAAAGGCCCUGCUUGCCGGGUACUCGAGUGGCGAACGGGUGAGUAACACGUGGGUGAUCUGCCCUGCACUUCGGGAUAAGCCUGGGAAACUGGGUCUAAUACCGGAUAGGAGCCAUUUUUAGUGUGAUGGUUGGAAAGUUUUUUCGGUGUAGGAUGAGCUCGCGGCCUAUCAGCUUGUUGGUGGGGUAAUGGCCUACCAAGGCGGCGACGGGUAGCCGGCCUGAGAGGGUGGACGGCCACAUUGGGACUGGGGUACGGCCCAGACUCCUACGGGAGGCAGCAGUGGGGAAUUUUGCACAAUGGGCGCAAGCCUGAUGCAGCGACGCCGCGUGGGGGAUGGCGGCCUUCGGGUUGUAAACUCCUUUCGCUAGGGACGGAGCUUUUUGUGACGGUACCUAGAUAAGAAGCACCGGCUAACUACGUG